AUACUUACCUGGCAGGGGAGAUGCCGUGAUCGUGAAGGUGGUUUCCCAGGGCGAGGCUUAUUCCUUGCCCUCCGGAUAUGCUGACCCCUGCGGUUCCCCAGGUGUGGGAGACUGGACUGCACAAUUUGUGGUAGUGGGGGACUGCGUUCGCGCUCUCCCCAA
Molossus molossus (Pallas's mastiff bat) is the source of this 162-nucleotide small nuclear RNA. RefSeq annotates it as U1 spliceosomal RNA. The transcript has a single exon. The record is from RefSeq and is a predicted model, not a curated record. Lineage: Eukaryota; Metazoa; Chordata; Mammalia; Chiroptera; Molossidae.